UACCAGCACCCCGAGUGGUCGGGACGUUUAUUGGGCCUAAAGCAUCCGUAGCCGGUUCUACAAGUCUUCCGUUAAAUCCACCUGCUCAACAGAUGGGCUGCGGAAGAUACUAUGGAGCUAGGAGGCGGGAGAGGCAAGCGGUACUCGAUGGGUAGGGGUAAAAUCCGUUGAUCCAUUGAAGACCACCGGUGGCGAAGGCGGCAUCCUGGACCGGCAUUGACGCUGAGGCGCGAAAGCCAGGGGAGCAAACGGG
Molecule: ribosomal RNA, 253 nt
Filed under: uncultured bacterium
Lineage: Bacteria
Description: partial 16S ribosomal RNA
Rfam family: Archaeal small subunit ribosomal RNA
Source: RNAcentral